AACUGAUACUACCUGCGGGAACCUGCGGAGGGAUCAUUAACGAUCAAAAUUGUUGUUUUGAUAACAACUUGAUAGUAGUAAGGGUCAUUUUGAUUCUUAUUACUAUUAAGCACCUUGUGAUUUUGUUCAAGUCUUUAACCUUAUUCUUUCAUUCUCGAAAGAGAGUUGAAGAAUAUUGGUUAAUUACAAACUACUUUAUUAAUGUCUGAUAUUAUAAGUUAUUGAAGUCUUUGUAUUUCA
Molecule: unclassified non-coding RNA, 240 nt
Filed under: soil metagenome
Description: partial contains 5.8S ribosomal RNA, internal transcribed spacer 2, and large subunit ribosomal RNA
Source: RNAcentral